This 26-nucleotide non-coding RNA is filed under the name Mus musculus (house mouse). Lineage: Eukaryota; Metazoa; Chordata; Mammalia; Rodentia; Muridae. The record is from RNAcentral.
CUCUGGAACCUGUGUGCUCUCUGCCU